AGAGACAGCAGCCGCCGCGGGAAUACAGAGGGUGCGAGCGUUAAUCGGAUUUACUGGGCGUAAAGCGUGCGUAGGCGGCUUCUUAAGUCGGAUGUGAAAUCCCUGAGCUUAACUUAGGAAUUGCAUUCGAUACUGGGAAGCUAGAGUAUGGGAGAGGAUGGUAGAAUUCCAGGUGUAGCGGUGAAAUGCGUAGAGAUCUGGAGGAAUACCGAUGGCGAAGGCAGCCAUCUGGCCUAAUACUGACGCUGAGGUACGAAAGCAUGGGGAGCAAACAGGAUUAGAUACCCCGGUAGUCCCUGUCUCUUAUAA
This 309-nucleotide ribosomal RNA is filed under the name uncultured bacterium. Its description in RNAcentral is "partial 16S ribosomal RNA". It matches the Rfam family "Bacterial small subunit ribosomal RNA", at positions 504 to 809 of the family's 1533-position model. The record is from RNAcentral.